Molecule: long non-coding RNA, 2156 nt
Organism: Passer domesticus (house sparrow)
Lineage: Eukaryota; Metazoa; Chordata; Aves; Passeriformes; Passeridae
Exons: 3
Source: RefSeq, a predicted model, not a curated record
CAACCGGUUUUGACCACUUUUUCGAAUUUUUCUCCUUACAGACUUCAACUCACAAAAUCACUUCACCUCACCGACUCAGACUUCCACGACGUCUCCGUUUGCCCAAACGUGCCAGGUACCUGGUGGCGGGUCAAAAAGCCCAGAAUAUGAUAACCCAGACAAGAUCCAUCCUGCCACCGGUCGCCAUCGCCAUCAUUACCUUCUGGUGCGCGACCCUGCCAACAUCACAGCCGUGGGUUGUUCCCCAACCCAAGAGGAAUGUGUGGAAGACUCUUGCCAGCGCCCUCGGCCAAGACAGCAUCUGCCUAACCACCGCGUCAGCAACAGACCUCUUGUCCACCUGCCUUGUGGGGAUCCCAAUCUCUCAAGAUGAGUUACCCGAUACCCUUUAUCCUUCCCUUGAACCCUUCUUUAAUAAUAAAAUCAAUUGCCCCUCCAAUCCUAACCCCAAUGUCGCCUGGAGAAGGUUUUCCAAUCGUUUAAAUCAAUCAAAGUCUGAACCAAUUGAAUUUACGUUACUCGGUUCCUCCACAGCCCAUUUUUGUUUUCAGUUCUUCCCAUUCCCGGGUCAGGACGAGAAAUCAUAUACACCAGUCAUAUCAUCGAAUUACACCGCCGGGAACUGGUGCUCUUCCCUGUCCCAAAUUACCACCUCCAUCACCUUCAAUGAUAAACCUAAGUCCCUUCCCAAUGGUUUGUUUCUAAUUUGUGGAAACCGAGCUUGGCAAGGCAUCCCCUCUCGCCUUCUCGGAGGUCCGUGUACUAUAGGCCGGUUGACGCUGUUUACACCCAGCAAAAACCAAAUUGUUAAUUGGCAAAAAAUAAAGGUCGCACCAAAUUCGAACCGCACCAAAAGAGAUUUGAGAAAUUUGGAUGAUACGUGCGACGAGGAAAUUGUACAUUGGAAUAAACUAGAAGAAGUAGCAUGGAUCACCUUCCUUCCUUGGGUAGCCGUUGCUCAAGCUCUAGGUGAAUUAGGCCACCUAGAGUGCUGGGUGGCGAAACAAGCAAAUUUAACAUCAACCGCGCUCAGUGACCUUUUAGAAGACGAGGAAAUAACAAGGCAGGCAACAUUGCAAAACAGGGCAGCGAUAGAUUUUCUAUUGCUGCUCCACGAUCACAAAUGUGACGAAUUUGAAGGGCUCUGUUGCUUGAAUCUGUCAUCGAAGGCCGAAGAUGUCCGAGUCUCCAUCAGCAAGAUGAAAGAAAUGAUAAAUCAGAUAAAAGAAGAGUCUGCAGACUGGGUGGGGAACUUGUUUGCAGGAUGGGGGUUGUCUGGGUGGGUGUCUUCCGUUCUAAAAACUGUUGUCUUAGUCUUAUUUAUUCUAUUGUUAGUAUCUGUUACGGUAUGCAUUGUUUGGAAUAUCUUAAAAAGGCUUUUGUUGAAGUCCACGUCCCCUGUGGAGAUCAACCGAGUAGUAGCAAAAGAAGAAGACGAACUAUAUGAAGAGGGCUUUGAAAUCCCGCAGGUGUUGGACUACCCCGGUUGGGACUCUUUUUCAGAGGACAGUUUUUGAUUUAUUACAUUGCCUUCUUUCGAUUUUCUUUUAAAACAGAAAAGGGGGAGAUGUGGGAUCGCGUUGGUUCGCUCUCCGCACCCCCGAGCUUAUGUUUGGUAUGGUCUUGGGAUGUACACUCCUCCUCUCCAUCAUCCCUUACCCCUCCCAGUUAUAGGAAUGUAUCUAUUUAACCUCCUCCCAGACCCCUGUUCAUCACUCAGUGGCCAGACCCACCUUCUAGAAUCUUCCAUCAGAUCUGUCAAGUUAUUGGUUCAAGGGCCAAGGCCACUCCCUUUCCCUAGUUCUAUUGGUUGCACAAGUUGUCAGUAGGUUGUAAGUUACACCCCCCCGAACCUCUGAUUGGUUGCUGUUCUCGCUUUAAAAAGCGCUGUCAAGCAGUGUUCAAGGUCUUCAGUUGGUUUCUCCCCUAGUGAAUAAACUGGACUGUGUUACCCCUGGAGACCGUCUCCGUCUAUUUCUGCGGAUUGCAGUUCCUGCCUCUUCGCUGGGAGUCCUCGUCACCUCAAGGCUUUAGCCUACCACCUGUUGAUGGCACAGCUUCUAGAGUGCAGAGAAAACACCCUGGUAGUGCCUUGAAGAAGAAGGUCUUGAAGAAGCAGGACAAUGUGUCCCUACUGCCCAAUAGGCCCAUCAUCC